Molecule: long non-coding RNA, 243 nt
Filed under: Lathyrus oleraceus (garden pea)
Lineage: Eukaryota; Viridiplantae; Streptophyta; Magnoliopsida; Fabales; Fabaceae
Description: Pisum sativum (pea) long non-coding RNA (PSAT_LNC029525)
Source: RNAcentral
ACUUUAUUAGGAGUUCCUCUCUUGAGAUCAUAUGUAGAUGAUCCAAGUGGUUCCUUUGGAAUAGGCAACAAGCACAAGACAAAAGUAAUAAGCAAAUAAGCAGGUUCAAAAAAGAACAAAGCUGGAAAUGGAUUGCUAAUAAAUGGUCUUACGUCCAACUCCACAAAGCAACAUGGGAAACAUAUAACCAAUCAAUGGUCUUACAUCUAACUCCACAAAAAGAAACAAAAUAGGAAACAGAUA